This 1216-nucleotide long non-coding RNA is filed under the name Nicotiana tabacum (common tobacco). Its description in RNAcentral is "long non-coding RNA (NTAB_LNC017671)". The record is from RNAcentral. Lineage: Eukaryota; Viridiplantae; Streptophyta; Magnoliopsida; Solanales; Solanaceae.
UUUGCUGGAUAGGACAAGGUAAUUUACUUUUUUAUUUGCCUUCAGCUUUAGUUCUUAGGCAUCGCCAAAAAGGCCCUAAAACUAUUUUCUGCGACUUUGCAAGGUUGCGCAGAUAAUUCUCAAGCGGCGGAGACAGAGGCACCUCUAUACAACUUUGACGAGUUCAUGUGGACUGUAGGCCUUAUUAAUUUGGAAUUUUCUCUCAUCGCUGCUUAUGGAAUCAUGGUCGAAAUUCGAUGGGUCGUCGGAAAAUUGUCGACUAAAAUAGGUCGUCUGAAGUUUGGGGUUGAGCAAUUUGAAGAUUUUAUUACCUUUUUUUAAGAGCAUUUCAAUGUAUCUCGCUGUAUUUCUAUGUAUUUCAUUGUAUUCACUAUCUAUUUUUUCGUUGUAAUUUAAUGUAUCUUGUUGUAUUCCAUGUAUUUCAUUGUAUUCAGUGUCUUUUUUUCUCAUUGUAUUUCAAUGUUGCCCUCUGUAUUCUAUCUAUUUCAUUGUAUUUUGCGGUUGAGAAUCUUUUUUAUAACUGAAAAAUACAAAAUUUGUGUGUUAUAAUUGAGUUUGUUGAGUUAUAUUAGGAGUCUAUUAUGUUAAUUGAUUCACUUUCCGUUUUAAAAACAGUGUAUUCCCCUAUUUCACAUCGUGAAUACAGUUGAAUACAAUAAUCUGUCCAGCUGUAAUCUCAUGUUUCACUCUAUGAAUGCAGUCGAAUACACUCGAAUACAACAACUGAUUAGCUGUACUUCCCUGAUUCACGCCUAUUUUUGAUACUGUAUUCAUGAAUACAAUAGCUUAAAUACAUCAAAUACAUCUUAUAACCACAAAAAAGGUAUCUAUAUUCCGUAAUAUAGCAAAUGCCAAAUGGUAUCUAUAAAUGGCUAAUUACUAAUAAAAGAUAAUGCUUUAUGAAAAUUUCUCAUUAACAAAUACGAAAGCUAAUUAAAUACAUUUAUAUCUAUAUAUAUAAUAAAGCUAGGAAUAAUAGUGAUGACUUGGCACUUCUCUUAGGCCAAGAAAUCUAUUUAUCUUUUUUCUCCUUUUUUACUUUUUUUUAAUAUCAAAUUCAAUUGUUUAGGCCUCUUUAAUGACUUAAUUCCAUGUUCUAGCAACCUUAAGUAUGCAAAACUGUACCAGUUAUUAUUUUCAGUUUUCUAAUCAUUAAAUUGAAUUGAUUGUUGUAAUAAAAGAAAAAGAACUGAUUGAUCCCUCAUGUCUCUUAUGU